UACAGAGGGGGCAAGCGUUGUUCGGAAUUACUGGGCGUAAAGGGCGCGUAGGCGGCCUUCUAAGUCGAACGUGAAAUCCCCGGGCUCAACCCGGGAACUGCGUCCGAUACUGGAAGGCUUGAAUCCGGGAGAGGGAUGCGGGAAUUCCAGGUGUAGCGGUGAAAUGCGCAGAUAUCAGGAGGAACACCAAUGGCGAAGGGCAGCACUCUGGGACGUGACUGACGCUGAGACGCGAAAGCGUGGGGAGCAAACAGG
This 255-nucleotide ribosomal RNA is filed under the name uncultured bacterium. RNAcentral's name for it is "partial 16S ribosomal RNA". It matches the Rfam family "Bacterial small subunit ribosomal RNA", at positions 524 to 776 of the family's 1533-position model. The record is from RNAcentral.